Molecule: long non-coding RNA, 1893 nt
Filed under: Apis mellifera (honey bee)
Lineage: Eukaryota; Metazoa; Arthropoda; Insecta; Hymenoptera; Apidae
Description: uncharacterized LOC102654051, transcript variant X3
Source: RNAcentral
AAUAAAAAAGAAAUCAUUCGUAGUAAAAAAUACAAUAGUAGAAUCGGGUAAUUUUAUUUCUUUUUUCUCUUGGAAACCCUGCUCACUUCCGAGUGGAUUUUCUUCACUUCCGGAAACGGUUCGUGAGUAGGCUUUAUUUUAUGUUGUGGAAAACCUACGCGAACAAACGGAUCGUUAUCAAUAGUGAAAUUAGAGACUCGUGAUUUGAUAAACGAUCAAAAGAUGGAAAGAUAUUGAAUAAAGAAAAAAUAAUGAACGAUUCACAAUUUCUUUACGAGAGAUCGGUUGAUCUCGAACGAGAUGAUUAACCUCGUUUCACGAAUCCAUCCCAUAAAUCUUAUUAUACCCGUUAUAUAUUAAUUAAACAAAAGUUUCACGAGUGGAUCAAAUUUUAAUAACUCUACGUCGAGCGUAGAACGUUCGGUGACAAAAGCGUAAACUGGAAGAAUAUAAUAUUACUCGUGAUGAAAAGUGAAGAAUGUUUCAUUUUUCGAUUUUGCACUACGAGAAAAAAAAAAGAAAAGAAAAGAAAAUUGGAACUUGACGAAAAUAAUAAAGAAAAACGCGAGAAACGUGGACGGUAAUUACCUUCUUUGGAAUAAUAUUUCAAUGGGGAAAAAUAUUGGAAUGCUUUUCAGAAGCGGGAAAAAUGAAGGAGGAAAUAUAUGUCUCGUCAGUGAAGGGAAAUGGGAAAAAUUAGCUCUUUAAUCAGCCCUAUGAAAACCGAUGGCACGAAAGAAGAAAUCACCGAUCUGAAAGGAUGAUGGAACAAAGAAUACCAAUUCCCUGGACGGGACGAAGGAAAAGCGAAGCACUUGGAAUAAAGUCCCUGGUUGAAAAGCGAGGGGAAUUCUUCGGUGGCGGUGGCCUUUCGCGUGGUAAAAAGCUUCAAUGAAAGGUAAAUCUCGAAGAGAAAUGGCACGGUAGUCUGUGAAAGAAGGCAAUCUCGAUGAUAAAAAAAGAAAAAAGAAAUUGAUCUUCGAAACUGUCUCUCUGAGUCUAGAAACAAGUCUCGGAAUCGUUUUAUGUCCAUUCGCUGUGUGUAAGAAUCAGUGGAGGAAUUUAGAAACGAGUCAGCUCCGGCAAACUACAAUUUUCCAGGACGUCAACCAUAUCGACGAAAUGAUCUCGACCUUUCGGCAUUCCCCUGCUGUCAUAGCACGCGACAUCGGGCGUCGUAUGCAUGGCUCGUGCCAGUUGGUAACCCCGGUGUAAUUCUUUUUUCGGCGGAGAAUCGGUUCUCAGGAGAUUGGAAAGGUGGAAAUGAGAUUUCCAGGGGCAAUUUGAAGCGAGUUUGUGCCGGUAAAAAGGUCGAGAUGAAGGGAGAGGAGGAGGAGGAGAGGGCGUCUCGUGACGAAGAAGAGGAGGAAGUCGAGACGGGGUCGAGGGCUGACUAGCGCGAGAUGAGGAGACGGAUACACACGGAGAUAAAUAAAUCUUUGAACUUCAUCGAAAAUCAAUUUAUAUUGGGAAAAAAAAAACGACGACAGAAAUAUCAAAUCAUAUCUAGUUUCUUAAAUAUUCUCAUUGAUUCACGAAUGAAUCGAAACUAAAGGAAACGAACUUGAAGUAAUAAUUCUAAAAAUGGAUUAAUCGUAAAAUUAUCGAUAAGCCUAUUCAUCUACAGUUUCUCACACGACACUUUCACUUCCCAUCUUUUUGAUGAGAGAACAUAAAUUUGAAGAAGAUUGUUCAAACAAAUUCAAUCAUCUGGAGAACAAGAUCGACCACCAACAUGAUUUUUAAGCAGAUUCAUUUAUCAACAAGUCUUUACUUCGCUGCCAUCACUUAAACGAGAUGCAGUAUCUUCCAGUUAAAACUGAAUCACUGCAAGUACCAAGACAAUGUAUAAAUAUAAAUUAUGUAAUGUAUAUGUAAUAUAAAUUUAUUAUU